Molecule: long non-coding RNA, 1027 nt
Organism: Cryptomeria japonica (Japanese cedar)
Lineage: Eukaryota; Viridiplantae; Streptophyta; Pinopsida; Cupressales; Cupressaceae
Exons: 6
Source: RefSeq, a predicted model, not a curated record
UAUAUAGUAAGAUAAGGAGAGGGCUUCGGGGAUCGACUCUCCCCACACCCUCACUCUCCAUUGAAUAACUUGACUCUAAUGGAUAAAAAUGAAAAACCUCUGCCAUUAAGAGCUGCAACGCUUGUUCUCUCUCUGUGUUGUUGAGGAUAUGGACUCGUUGAGCAUUUACAGUGACAACAAAUCUUUCUGGAGAGCCGAGACCAACCAUGCUAGGUCCACCAUAGAUAAAAUGGUAGCGGGAGAUGAUCAUUAACGAAGAAGAACACACAUAAACUUGGGAGUGAUGAAAUACUUGUUUUCUCUUCAUGUUGUGCGAGGCAUUUUGUUAAGGCAUUUACAGGGGACUAAAUGUCCCAGAUUGAUGACAUCACGUUCUUAGCGAUCGAUUUUGGCCUACAAAGCUAUAUGGGUACCCCCUCCACGUCUAGGGCUCGUCCUAAGAAAAAGAAUUCCUCGAAGACGCCAAAACGAGGGAAGAAGGUAAUUGAACACAUUUUUAGUUGUACAAUUGUUUGAAAAUGUUGAAAUCAAGUAUUAGUUGGAGUUUGCAGAUUGAUUAGUGUUUUUUGUCUAUUUUACAUGUACAUCGAUCAUUGAGCUAUGUGGAUUUGUUGAAUGCACCUGAUUCGCUCAUGGAUCAAGAGAGGGCAGAGGUAAUAGCGACAAUUUCUUCAUCAAUGGUGAGCCAUCCUCAGUCCAUUGGAGAAACAUCUUAGGUACAAACCCCUUCCGGUAUGACCAUAACGUGGAUCCAUUUAAGUAUGUCUUCAAGAAAACUCUUAAGAGUGACAAGGAGAGGAGAGCGAAGACAUUAGCUCCUAGAUCAGCCAAUGAGCCAUCUACAGAGCCACGUACUGCAUCAAAGAGGCUUGAUUUUGAUGAUCCACCACAAGUUUAGUAUCAUAUAGUGUUAGUUUUGGUCAUAUAAUGACCAAUACAUGUAGAUGUAUUCUAAAUUUUUAUUGUAUAUCGAUUUGGACAUGGCAUAUGCCACAUUUUUGUAAUACUUGUAUUGACUUGGCAGACA